Molecule: long non-coding RNA, 387 nt
Organism: Octopus bimaculoides (California two-spot octopus)
Lineage: Eukaryota; Metazoa; Mollusca; Cephalopoda; Octopoda; Octopodidae
Source: RefSeq, a predicted model, not a curated record
CUUUAGACUGCAGUCAUACUGGCAUACUGCAUUGAGCUCAUAUAUGUUAGUUAUAUACAAUCCAAUUUAUUUAUCAUUCACUCUACCCUGAAUUGUGGUACAAUAUGGACAUAUUUUUGAAUACCAAGGAACAUUUGUGCAGAUAUAACAAUUUAAAGGAUAAGCAUAUUACAAUGGAUUCUAAUAAGUGGACUUUUCCUUUUUCUCUCUCUUUUUCUUUUUUCUUUGUGCUUUUUUCUUUGUGAUUUUUUCUUUGUGAUGUAAUCUUGGGACUGAAAAUGUUUGCGGCUGAAGAUAGCUUUAAACCAUCCUUUCUAUCAAUUAUAUACUCAUAAAAUGAUGCAACAACAGUUUGUGUAUAAAGCUUGAAACAUGUGUACCACGGAA